ACAGCAGUAGCCACGGUAAUACAGAGGAUGCAAGCGUUAUCCGGAAUGAUUGGGCAUAAAGUGUCUGUAGGUGGCUUUUCAAGUCCGCCGUCAAAUCCCAGGGCUCAACCUUGGACAGGCGGUGGAAACUACCAAGCUGGAGGACGGUAGGGGCAGAGGGAAUUUCCGGUGGAGCGAUGAAAUGCGUUGAGAUCGGAAAGAACACCAACAGCGAAAGCACUCUGUUGGGCCGACACUGACACUGAGAGACGAAAGUUAGGGGAGCAAAUGGGAUUAGAUACCCCCGUAGUCCCUGUCUCUUAUAC
Molecule: ribosomal RNA, 305 nt
Filed under: uncultured bacterium
Lineage: Bacteria
Description: partial 16S ribosomal RNA
Rfam family: Bacterial small subunit ribosomal RNA
Source: RNAcentral